RNAcentral lists this ribosomal RNA (483 nucleotides) under uncultured bacterium. Its description in RNAcentral is "partial 16S ribosomal RNA". It matches the Rfam family "Bacterial small subunit ribosomal RNA", at positions 28 to 523 of the family's 1533-position model. The record is from RNAcentral.
GACGAACGCUGGCGGCGUGCUUAACACAUGCAAGUCGAACGAUGAAGCCGGAGCUUGCUCCGGUGGAUUAGUGGCGAACGGGUGAGUAACACGUGAGCAGUCUGCCCUUGACUCUGGGAUAACUGCGGGAAACUGUAGCUAAUACCGGAUACGACACCUUGGGGCAUCCCAGGGGGGGGCAAGAAUUUCGGUCAAGGAUGAGCUCGCGGCCUAUCAGCUAGUUGGUGAGGUAAUGGCUCACCAAGGCAACGACGGGUAGCCGGCCUGAGAGGGUGACCGGCCACACUGGAACUGAGACACGGUCCAGACUCCUACGGGAGGCAGCAGUGGGGAAUAUUGCACAAUGGGCGAAAGCCUGAUGCAGCAACGCCGCGUGAGGGAUGAAGGCCUUCGGGUUGUAAACCUCUUUUAGCAGGGAAGAAGCGAAAGUGACGGUACCUGCAGAAAAAGCACCGGCUAACUACGUGCCAGCCGCCGCGGUAA